GGCGAAGAUGAGACGUUGCUGGUCUGGCGGGAUGCCUUCCUUGUCUUGGAUUUUGGCUUUCACGUUGUCGAUCGUGUCAGAGCUCUCGACCUCGAGAGUGAUCGUCUUUCCGGUAAGCGUCUUAACGAAGAUUUGCAUCCCGCCGCGCAAACGAAGGACAAGGUGGAGAGUUGACUCCUUCUGGAUGUUGUAGUCGGCCAAGGUACGGCCGUCUUCGAGUUGUUUUCCGGCGAAGAUGAGACGUUGCUGGUCUGGGGGGAUGCCUUCCUUGUCUUGGAUCUUCGCCUUAACGUUGUCGAUCGUGUCGGAGCUCUCGACCUCGAGAGUGAUUGUCUUGCCGGUCAAGGUUUUCACGAAGAUUUGCAUCCCACCGCGCAAACGGAGGACGAGGUGGAGAGUUGACUCCUUUUGGAUGUUGUAAUCGGCCAAGGUCCGGCCGUCUUCGAGCUGUUUUCCGGCGAAGAUCAGACGCUGCUGGUCUGGAGGGAUGCCUUCCUUAUCUUGGAUUUUGGCCUUCACGUUGUCGAUCGUGUCGGAGCUCUCGACCUCGAGUGUGAUCGUCUUGCCGGUUAGAGUCUUAACGAAGAUCUGCAUCUUGUUUGGCUAAAUAGAAAAUCGAGAAAGAAAACUUCAAUAUACAAAG
This 643-nucleotide long non-coding RNA is filed under the name Gossypium raimondii (Peruvian cotton). Its description in RNAcentral is "long non-coding RNA (GRAI_LNC008790)". Lineage: Eukaryota; Viridiplantae; Streptophyta; Magnoliopsida; Malvales; Malvaceae. The record is from RNAcentral.